This is a long non-coding RNA of Nasonia vitripennis (jewel wasp), 848 nucleotides long. RefSeq lists it as uncharacterized. The transcript has 2 exons. NCBI's taxonomy places the organism in Eukaryota, Metazoa, Arthropoda, Insecta, Hymenoptera, Pteromalidae. The record is from RefSeq and is a predicted model, not a curated record.
UAGGCGAAAAAGGGGGUGGCGAAGAGGAGACCGCCAAGCGGGCGGCUGGAAAAAGUGCUCUCACUCCGAGAAUAUAUAUACAUACGUGUAGAUAUAGGUAUAUGCGUAUAGAAGAAGGCAAGGAAAAUGUAAGCCGAGAUCAAGCGCGUUGAUCCCCUUACGUGCGCUCUCUGGCGUUUGACACGGCCGCUAAAAUUUUUACUCGCUUCGAUUUCGGGCUUUCGGAGGAAUUCCUCGACCUCCGAUUGGCGGACCCUGGCCACGCCCUGUGCACCUACAAGCUCACGUCGUCGUCUCUCUCUCUCUUGCUCCCUUGCAUGCGGCACAACCUCGCGCUCGCUCGCUCGCUCUCUAUCUGCCCCUUCCUUCGACCUCCGCUCUAUACAUAUACUAUAUAGCGCUGCUGCUGCUGCCCUGCGCGCCGCGUAUACGUGUGCGGGGUAUACACAUGCCACAUACAUGCAUAUAUAAGCCCCCCUAUAUACGAGGCUACCCCCUGUGCCGUGGCGUGACGGCCCAGGUCCGUAUCGUGCGGGUAGCGUAAGCUGCGGGCUCCAAAAUUCCAAAGAUCUUAGGGUGGAUACACGCGCGGCUUGCCUUCUUGAUUAAUGGACCAGCUCUCGCGUACCAAGGAGCCUCCCGACCACCCUCUGAUGCUGCAUGUAUUGCUGACGCUGCUGCCAGGGAAUAACAAGAAACGUUAGCGAUAAGAAUGGCGUUAAAAAAUUGUGCAAAACUACUGAAAUUUAUGCCUCUUCUGAGAUGGAUACACUAUGAUACUGUAUUCUUGAACAGACGUUUGAAAACUGGAUGUAUUUGAAUGAAAAUAAAUGUCUCAAAAUAGCAAA